CAGAGAGAAGGGCUCUUAAGAAACUUAUAGAAAGAGCUCGGGUAGAGGAAGACAAGCGGAAGGAAUCAAUUGUGGCUUAUCUCUUACAUCUGAUGAGGAAAUACUCCAAGUUAUUUAGAAGUGAGCUCACAGAUGACAAUGAUUCACAGGGUUCAACACCUUGUUCACCCACAGUUCAGGGUUCUUUUGUGGAUGCUGGUGAUGGCCAUGCCCUUGAGCGACAGUUGUCGAAGCUUAGUUCUUUCAAUUUCAAGCCAAACAAUAGGAAAUCUGACCAGAUAGCUGUUCCUCCAGAAGAAUUAAGGUGUCCAAUAUCAUUGCAGCUAAUGUAUGAUCCAGUAAUCAUUGCAUCUGGACAAACAUACGAGAGGAUCUGCAUUGAGAAAUGGUUCAGUGAUGGGCAUGACACCUGCCCAAAGACUCAACAGAAGCUCUCUCAUCUGUGUUUGACUCCUAAUUAUUGUGUCAAGGGUCUUGUCACUAGUUGGUGUGAACA
Molecule: unclassified non-coding RNA, 496 nt
Filed under: Hevea brasiliensis (rubber tree)
Lineage: Eukaryota; Viridiplantae; Streptophyta; Magnoliopsida; Malpighiales; Euphorbiaceae
Source: RNAcentral